UAUGUUUCCCGAGCUGACAUGACUCACACUCUAAUGUGGAUAAACUGGACAAACGAGGCACCAUCUUCUGAAGUUUGGACAAGCUAGGAUGUCCUACACGACUGUGAAGUAGGCCUGGAGGAUCGACAGCUAGACAGGCCUUAGAGGAUGUUAGUGAGUUAAGGUAGUAGACUCCGUCUGAUUCAAGUCCUGUUCCAAUCGUCUGUCCCGUACUGCGAUCCUGCAUAAUAAAAG
RNAcentral lists this long non-coding RNA (234 nucleotides) under Nicotiana benthamiana. RNAcentral's name for it is "long non-coding RNA (NBEN_LNC033315)". The record is from RNAcentral. Lineage: Eukaryota; Viridiplantae; Streptophyta; Magnoliopsida; Solanales; Solanaceae.